CCUAAGUAGGGGACGGCAGGGCAAGUGCCCACUAUGCUUCUGCCACGGGGAGCAGGCAGGAGCCCUCAGGGUGAGGCGCCUGACCAGGCCUUACUAAGAAUAACUUCAGUGGCAUCUACUUUGUACUGUUGGCUUGUGCCCAGGGCCGUCAGGGGUUUUAAACACCCUGUGAGUGUGGGUUUCAGCAGGAGAGAGACCUCUGCCCACCACCCGGUCAAGCUGGCAGAGGAGGAGGCAGGAAGACACAGAUUCUACCAGCUCACGUGGUCAGGCCACUCUGCACAGGAGCGAGAGAGGUUCGAGGCAGGAUGGAGCCCUGUCAGGAGCUGGCCUGGAGGGUGGCGGAGAGAGUAGGCACACUCCUGUCAUCUCAUUGGAUUCUGCAACAGCCCAGGGCAGGGCCAGGUGAGAAUCCCAAGGAACUGAAGGUGGAAACCCGGGGUUUAACCCAUCGUGUUUGAAUGUAAAUUAAACGCAUCGAAUGUGUGAUAUUAUUAAGACCUUUUAUGGUUUAGUUGUAUCAAAGUAUCCGAGGCUGGGAAAUUUGUAAAGAAAAGAGUUUUUUUUUUUUUUUUUAGCUUUAAAGUUCGGGAGGCUGGAAGUCCAAAGAGCCUGGCAUGCGCUCUGGUGAGGGACCCCUGACUGAUUUACCUUGUGGCCGGUGGCCUCAUGACUAGACCCCUGUGUGAGAGGGAAAGAGCACAUGGAGGCUCUGGAGCCAGACGGUGGGGAGGAGUCAGUCUCAGGAACGCCCCUUAGAUCCCACUUCUGGAAGGUCCCACCACUUCUUAACGUCACCCCACUGGGGACCAAACUUCCGACACAGAACCUUUGUGGGAUCCUUCAAACCACCCUCCAACCAAAGCAGGCCCUGAUGUCACCAUCGCCAUCUUGAAGCCAGGCAGAUGGCUUCAGGUUUUCAGGUUUGGGGUUUGCUGGGGUAUCAGUGCGUGGCUUAUCCCCACAGUGAACAGAUCACCGGCCUUCUCUGUGCCUUGGUGUCCUCUUUGGUCAUGAGGAGUAUUGUACAGUUGUCAUGAAAAUUGGACAAGUGUAUUCAUUAGGGAAUUUCCCGUGGAUCCUGAGGCUUCAGGAGUUCUUGACAAACGCUCAUUCUUAUUCCUGAGCUGGGUGGUGUGGGGCGGGCUGUGCUCCUGGCCCCUUGGUCUCUUCACAUUCAAAUGCUAUCAUUGGACUAUUUGUCUGGCAGACGUUUCUCUCUCCUAGUUAGUCCAGGAAUGUUUGGAACAGUGAUUCUGAUUAUCUCUGUGUGGGUAUAUUUUCUCCUCUAAAAUACAUAAAAGAUAUCUAGCCAGGUAAACCUUUGAGAGAAUAUAAGAGUUAAAAUUCAGAACAGCUGAGAACAAAAGAGCAUUAGUUCCCAAUUGUUUGGCAGAAUUGAAAAGAGCGUUACAAAUGGCUUUUGGAAAGUUCACAUUUUGUUCUGCAAAUACUUUCUGGGAAUGUCACUAGGUACAGUUAAAAAAAAAAAAAUCCACACCCAAACAGACAGCAUCCAAAUAAAUUUUGCUGCUUUACAAACAACAAAAUAGAAUCCUUUUGAAUCCACAGUGAACUCAUAGACCAGAGUGGCUAAAAAUUCCCUUCCUGCAUAUUUACUUAGCAGAGAGCUCCGGAGAAAAACCCAACCACAGCAAACCUAGCUACUUCUCUGAGAAGAUGGAAUGACUGCAGAAUAUUGUUUUGUGGCCCCCAAAGCCUGAAAAAACUGCCAAUGAAAGAGGAAAAUCCCUCUGAUUGGGCAUUUUACCUUUUCAGAAAUGAAAGGGUUCAACGGAAAGAAAAGAAACCAAACACACACACAACCCUUUGCUUAGAUCCUUAGAAGACUAGAGCAGGGCCCAAGAUAAAUCUCCUGAACUGUCCAGCCGAGUCAUGAAGGACUCCGCUGCCCUCCUCCCUUCAGUGCCCUGUAGCCUGCCACAGGACAGAGGUCCCCGUGGCGAGAGCUAAGACACGUUGGAAGCAACAGACGGCACAGUGCUCUGCACGUCUGAGCCGGCCCCUCGCUGGCCCUUGAUCAGCUCUUCUGAGCGCUAGCCUGGAACGAGGGUCCCGCCACUGUCCAGAUUAAGACCUGGGCUCCAAAUGGAAUCUGUUUUGUUUCGUAAAGUAGCAAAAUGUCUGAGGAUGCUAUCUGUUUGAGCUUGGGUUUUAGCAAGGUCACACAGGCCUCACUAUUGGGCCACUCUGGGGGAGGGAAUGAGGCACACUUUGGACAGCCUGUGGCCACGUGGCACACCUGAAGUUACGCCACUCAGCCCUCCACCCCCCUCCCUCCUGCGCAGGUGAGGGGGAAGCUCUGCUGGAGGACCUGCCCAGUACCAGGCCAGCGGCCAGGAAAGGGCAAGUGUGGCCUCCAGCCCCAGAAGCACCCUGCUUGAUCCCAGUACCCCAUGUCUGCCCCGUCGCUCACCCCAUGCUCCCCUCAUUGCUUAGCGGGACCUGAGAACAGUAGCACAAAAACACAACCAAGCCCAGCUCCUGGGAUCCAAACUUGGUCAUCACAGUGACACAGCAGCCAGACAGCGCACACACUGCCAUUCACAGUCCAUGUCACCACGUUCCGGAUGAGCCGGAACCAGCAGCAGGCUUGGCAAGGGACCAGCUCAGCCUUAGCGAGUCAGAGAGCCCAGGCAUGGCAGGGUAGGCUGGAGAGGCUAGUCCCAGGGCCCUGCUGGUGAGCAGGCCAUCAGAGUGGGCCGGGAGGUCAGGGAGGAGCUCGGGCAUUUGGUUAGGCAGCUCGCCCUGCCGUUGGGUACGCAUCCUAUAUGUCAGUCAAUCGUUUCUCACAAGAGAAGGGUCAGCAGCUGGGUAGGACCAGAGCCAAAGAACAGAGGCCUGGGGAGGCUCCGGAGGAGGGGAGGGGGAGGAGGGAAACCUUCCUGCCCACAGGGAAGGCCUAGUGUUGGAGGUUAAGUUCAUGAGCCAGAGGAGCAAAGAGGUUGUUCUGGGCAAACUCUGAGCAAAGUUUCACAGAAAGCCAUCAGAGGCCCAGGAGUUCACCUGCCAAGGGGGCUGGAUGGGUUGUUGGGCUUCUGUCCAUCUGCUCGGGGCUGGCAGCAGCUCCACACCCUGGGCAGGCCAGGUGGCCGGCUCCCCUGGCCAGGGCUUCUCGUCCCUCUGACCUAGUGCCCUUUCUCUUACCACAGCCCUCUAAGACCUGUGUUGGGGCUUUUUCCUGAUCCUAUUUACAGAUGUGGAAACCGAGGAUUGGAGAGCGUGAGUCACAAAAUUCAGGUCACGUAGCUAGAAAGUGGCAGAACCAGAAAGGCCCUCCAUGAAUGUCCAGAGCCCAGGCCGCCAGCUCCCGCUGUGGAAUUCGUAGGGCCUCCCACAGGUGUCCAUCACGGCGGACAGGACAGCUUCUCUAGGAGGCACCAGCCCAGCCCCGAAGCACACCAGGCCCACCCGUGUCCUCUGGUGGCCACGGACCCAAUCGUGGGCUGCCUUUUUGGAAGAGAUCCUGGUGGUUCUGCAGUUGCCCACUCCCCAGUCAUAGACCACAGCCUCACGCUCCAAAGCCGGGGCCUGAGUGGUCUGCUUCUGCUCUCCUCUCGGGGGGCUCUGAGGGUGCACCUGGCCUGUGAGGGUCUCGCCAGAUUGUGAGAUCUCCAGUGGACCCCACAUUGCUGAUCUCCAGUGGACCCCACAUUGCUGAUCUCCAGUGGACCCCACAUUGCUGAUCUCCAGUGGAUCCCACAUUGCUGAUCUCCAGUGGACCCCACAUUGCUGAUCUCCAGUGGACCCCACAUUGCUGAUCACAAGUGCUGCUCUUGAUGUUGCCCUGGUUUCUGGGGAUUGAGGAAGGCAGGGGCACGGUGAGUCCCGGGGCUGGAGACCCGGAUGGAGCACCAAGGCCAUAGUGAGUUUGCCAUCAGGCCUGUGAACUCACCCUGCUCUCUAGAUCGGCGCCUCCUGGGCGCACCCUGUGUUUUGUAAGCUGAAUUGUAAAAGUCACUGCUGCAACUUUAGAAAAUUCCUUUUUAAUAUCUUCACAAUGGAGAGGACGGUGGGUGGUGGUUGUUCCUGUUCCUGGAAGGGAAGGCGCUGUUAAUCCCACCACCUGGCGGAGGGUCUCAGGGAUCAAGACCGUGGCUUGCGGAACAGUGUCGCUGCCGCAGAAUGUCUCUCGGGGGUGAAUGGGUGUUCCUGCGGCCUAAUCUCAAAUUCUCAAGCUCAGUCUCUGGCAGAAAAGGAAAUUAAAAGAGGGGGAGAUCAGGCCGGCGGACGGCGUCCUCCCACCCUGCUCCUGGUGGGGACUUGAGAUGGAAAACGACCCUUCCUGGUGGCCCAAGAGCUGGCUCCAGGCUCUCUCCAGCUGCUGGGUCUACUGUGAGGUGAACGGCUGAGCCCAGCAGGCAGGAGCGGGAACCCAGGUUCUGCAGGAAGCCAUCCCUCCACAGCCAGAUACCCAGCCAGGAGGAAGCACAGGCUGGCACAGAGCCCUGUUCACGCUCAGGACACCCUGCACGGUCGGGACCUGUGCCUGCCGUGGAGGACCGGAGCCUCCCUCCUUUCCCAGAGCUGAGGGAGCAAACCUGUGUUGAUGGGGUGGGUUGGACUUGCGGGAGUCGAUUCAAUGAUAAGUUAUAGGUGAUGCACAUUUAGAUAACAUGAAACAAGUAAGAUCUGAAUGCUUGCAAAGAGCCUUAGCGGUGCCCUUGUUUGACCUUCUACUCCAAGACUUCAAUUGCCAUCUACUGAGUCAGUGAUUCUUUUAUUAAAAGUCCUGGCUCUGCCACUUCCUAGCUGUGUGACCUUGAGUGAAUUGCUUACUCUCUCUGUUCCUUGUCACUUACAAAAUAGGGAUCAUAAUAGUAUGGAGCUCCCAAGAGGUACUAAAUGAGCAUCAAAUGAGUUAAUGUUUGGGACCAUUUGCUGAUUACAUGCUGUGAGUAACCCCCUGUCAUCCACCCUCACCAUUCUGGUUUAGAACCCUCUUGCCCAGGCUCCUGGGGCAGUUUUUCUGGAUGAGACUCCACGUGGUUACACCGUACCUGCUUGCACAC
This 5033-nucleotide long non-coding RNA is filed under the name Marmota monax (woodchuck). Lineage: Eukaryota; Metazoa; Chordata; Mammalia; Rodentia; Sciuridae. The record is from RNAcentral.